Molecule: ribosomal RNA, 561 nt
Filed under: uncultured Alphaproteobacteria bacterium
Lineage: Bacteria; Pseudomonadati; Pseudomonadota; Alphaproteobacteria
Description: bacterial SSU rRNA
Rfam family: Bacterial small subunit ribosomal RNA
Source: RNAcentral
GGCGCGUCCAUGCAGUGAACGAAGUACAUACUUAGUGGCAGACGGGUGAGUACAUGUGGGUAUCUACCCUUUGGCCUGGAAUAACACGAGGAAACUUGUGCUAAUACUGGAUAAGUCUUUACGGAGAAAGCUUUAUGCACCAUUGGAUGAGCCUGCACUUGAUUAGUUUGUUGGUGGGGUAACGGCCUACCAAGACUUUGAUCAAUAGCUGAUUUGAGAGGAUGAUCAGCCACAUUGGGACUGAGACACGGCCCAAACUCCUACGGGAGGCAGCAGUGGGGAAUCUUGCACAAUGGAGGAAACUCUGAUGCAGCGAUGCCGCGUGAGUGAAGAAGGCCCUUGGGUUGUAAAGCUCUUUCGUCGGGGAAGAAAAUGACUGUACCCGAAUAAGACAGGUCCGGCUAACUUCGUGCCAGCAGCCGCGGUAAUACGAAGGGACCUAGCGUAGUUUCGGACAUUACUGGGCUUAAAGAGUUCGUAAGUGGACGAAAAAGGUGGAGGAGAAAUCCCAGAGCUUACUCCUGGAACUGCCAUCAAAAUUUCAACUAGAGUUGAAAAGGA